CAGGGUUGCCUUUGCUCUCUCCUGUGAAGGUUUAGUUACAGAAGUGCAACAAGUGUUCUUGAGAAUUUUGCUCUCCCAUUAACUAUAGAAGACAUAUACGCAUACAACAUCCAUUGAAAAAGCUUGAUAAGGAUUCUGAUAAAAAUAGGGAUCUUUUAGGGGCAUAUUGGGAUAAGCUCUCCGUAGAAGAGGCAAAGGAAGUUGUUUCAUUCAAGAAUGUGAUGUUGGAGGUAAUAUCUCUUUUGCUCCUUAUGUGACUAGUUUAUUUCUAUAUGAAGUUAUGUUGAUGUGAUUUGCCUUACUCAAGUACUGGUUAGGUC
Molecule: long non-coding RNA, 320 nt
Organism: Glycine soja
Lineage: Eukaryota; Viridiplantae; Streptophyta; Magnoliopsida; Fabales; Fabaceae
Exons: 3
Source: RefSeq, a predicted model, not a curated record